Oryza sativa Indica Group (long-grained rice) is the source of this 172-nucleotide microRNA precursor. It matches the Rfam family "MIR812 microRNA precursor family". The record is from Rfam. NCBI's taxonomy places the organism in Eukaryota, Viridiplantae, Streptophyta, Magnoliopsida, Poales, Poaceae.
UUUCCGUCCUAAAAUUUCAUGUCUAACAUUAACCGUUCGUCUUAUUAUUUUUAUUGUUACUAGAUGAAAAAAUAUGAAUAGUAUGUGUGACUAUUUUUUUAUUUUUUCAUAAACUUUUCAAAUAAAACGGAUGGUCUAACGUUGGACACGGAUUCCCACAGUUGCACUUAUU